RNAcentral lists this transfer RNA (67 nucleotides) under Ixodes scapularis (black-legged tick). Lineage: Eukaryota; Metazoa; Arthropoda; Arachnida; Ixodida; Ixodidae. The record is from Rfam by way of RNAcentral.
UCCUGGUUAGUUCAGUUGGUAGAGCGCUCCAUUGGAAAUGGAGUGGCCAGUGGUUUGAUAUCAGGAC